Molecule: ribosomal RNA, 402 nt
Filed under: Actinomycetes bacterium
Lineage: Bacteria; Bacillati; Actinomycetota; Actinomycetes
Description: Actinobacteria bacterium partial 16S ribosomal RNA
Rfam family: Bacterial small subunit ribosomal RNA
Source: RNAcentral
UGGGGAAUUUUGCACAAUGGGGGCAACCCUGAUGCAGCGACGCCGCGUGAUUUAGAAGGCCUUCGGGUUGUAAAAAUCUUUUGUAUAGGAAGAAAAUGACAGUACUAUACGAAUAAGGUCCGGCUAAUUACGUGCCAGCAGCCGCGGUAAUACGUAAGGACCGAGCGUUGUCCGGAAUCAUCGGGCGUAAAGGGUACGUAGGCGGUUAAAAAAGUUAGAAGUGAAAGGCUAUAGCUCAACUAUAGUAAGCUUUUAAAACUGUUUAACUUGAGAGGUGGAAGGGAAAGUGGAAUUCCUAGUGUAGCGGUGAAAUGCGCAGAUAUUAGGAGGAAUACCGGUGGCGAAGGCGACUUUCUGGCCAUUAUCUGACGCUGAGGUACGAAAGCGUGGGUAGCAAACAGG